Molecule: small nuclear RNA, 139 nt
Filed under: Cebus imitator (Panamanian white-faced capuchin)
Lineage: Eukaryota; Metazoa; Chordata; Mammalia; Primates; Cebidae
Description: U4 spliceosomal RNA (ENSCCAG00000008738.1)
Rfam family: U4 spliceosomal RNA
About the family: U4 small nuclear RNA (U4 snRNA) is a component of the major U2-dependent spliceosome. The structure of U4 snRNA from yeast and human has been reported.
Source: Rfam by way of RNAcentral
AGCUUUGCAUAGUGGCAGUAUUGUAGCCAAUGAGGUUUAUCCGAGGUGCGAUUAUGGCUAAUUUAAAACUUUUCCAAUACCCUGCCGUGACAACUUGCAAUAUAAUUGGCAUUGGCAAUUUUUGACAGUCUACGGUAGA